GGGGAUAUAGCUCAGUUGGUAGAGUGCUUGCUUUGCAUGCACAAGGCCCUGGGUUCAAUCCCCAGCACCUCA
RNAcentral lists this transfer RNA (72 nucleotides) under Ictidomys tridecemlineatus (thirteen-lined ground squirrel). Its description in RNAcentral is "Spermophilus tridecemlineatus (thirteen-lined ground squirrel) tRNA". It matches the Rfam family "tRNA". Rfam says of the family: Transfer RNA (tRNA) molecules are approximately 80 nucleotides in length. Their secondary structure includes four short double-helical elements and three loops (D, anti-codon, and T loops). The record is from Rfam by way of RNAcentral. Lineage: Eukaryota; Metazoa; Chordata; Mammalia; Rodentia; Sciuridae.